Molecule: ribosomal RNA, 107 nt
Filed under: Candidatus Magasanikbacteria bacterium CG10_big_fil_rev_8_21_14_0_10_38_6
Lineage: Bacteria; Candidatus Magasanikiibacteriota
Also listed under: 1 other name
Source: RNAcentral
CUUGGUGGUUCUUGCAGUGGGGGUACACCUGUUCCCUUCCCGAACACAGCAGUUAAGUCCACGAGCGCCGAUGAUAGUCGCAAGGCAAAAGUAGGUCGCCGCCAAGA